AGUGAACGCUGGCGGCAGGCCUAACACAUGCAAGUCGAACGGCAGCACAGUAAGAGCUUGCCCUUACGGGUGGCGAGUGGCGGACGGGUGAGGAAUACAUCGGAAUCUACUUUUUCGUGGGGGACAACGUAGGGAAACUUACGCUAAUACAGCAUACGACCUACGGGUGAAAGCAGGGGAUCUUCGGACCUUGCGUGAUUGAUUGAGCCGAUGUCGGAUUAGCUAGUUGGCGGGGUAAAGUCACACCAAGCCGACGCUCCGUAGCUGGUCUGAGAGGAUGAUCAGCCACACUGGAACUGAGACACGGUCCAGACUCCUACGGGAGGCAGCAGUGGGGAAUAUUGGGCAAUGGGCGCAAGCCUGAUCCAGCAAUACCGCGUGGGUGAAGAAGGCCUUCGGGUUGUAAAGCCCUUUUGUUGGGAAAGAAAAGCAGCAUGUUAAUACCCCGCUGUUCUGACGGUACCCAAAGAAUAAGCACCGGCUAACUUCGUG
RNAcentral lists this ribosomal RNA (492 nucleotides) under uncultured bacterium. RNAcentral describes it as "partial 16S ribosomal RNA". It matches the Rfam family "Bacterial small subunit ribosomal RNA", at positions 29 to 507 of the family's 1533-position model. The record is from RNAcentral.